This 81-nucleotide transfer RNA is filed under the name Podarcis lilfordi (Lilford's wall lizard). RNAcentral's name for it is "tRNA.Ile". The record is from RNAcentral. Lineage: Eukaryota; Metazoa; Chordata; Lepidosauria; Squamata; Lacertidae.
GCACAAGAUAGUUCAGUUGGUUAGAGUGUGGUGCCGAUAAUGCCAAGGUUGCAGGUUCGAUCCCCGUAUGGGGCAGCUGCA